CCUACGGGUGGCAGCAGUAGGGAAUUUUGGACAAUGGGGGCAACCCUGAUCCAGCAAUGCCGCGUGAGUGAAGAAGGCCUUAGGGUUGUAAAGCUCUUUUACUGAUGAAGAUGAUGACGGUAAUCAGAGAAUAAGUUCCGGCAAACUUCGUGCCAGCAGCCGCGGUAAUACGAAGGGGACUAGCGUUGUUCGGAAUCACUGGGCGUAAAGAGUGAGUAGGUGGUUAAAUAAGUCAGAUGUGAAAUCCUUGAUCUUAAGUUAAGAAUGGCAUUUGAAACUAUAUAACUUGAGUACAGUAGGGGACAGUAGAAUUCCAAGUGUAGAGGUGAAAUUCGUAGAUAUUUGGAGGAAUACCAGGAGCGAAGGCGUCUGUCUGGGCUGUAACUGACACUGAGUCACGAAAGCGUGGGGAGCAAACAGGAUUAGAUACCCUAGUAGUC
This 440-nucleotide ribosomal RNA is filed under the name uncultured bacterium. Its description in RNAcentral is "bacterial SSU rRNA". It matches the Rfam family "Bacterial small subunit ribosomal RNA", at positions 338 to 795 of the family's 1533-position model. The record is from RNAcentral.